Molecule: ribosomal RNA, 134 nt
Filed under: Methylobacterium sp. ap11
Lineage: Bacteria; Pseudomonadati; Pseudomonadota; Alphaproteobacteria; Hyphomicrobiales; Methylobacteriaceae
Description: 16S rRNA. Bacterial SSU
Rfam family: Bacterial small subunit ribosomal RNA
Source: RNAcentral
UUCAACUUGAGAGUUUGAUCCUGGCUCAGAGCGAACGCUGGCGGCAGGCUUAACACAUGCAAGUCGAGCGGGCCCUUCGGGGUCAGCGGCAGACGGGUGAGUAACGCGUGGGAACGUGCCCUUCGGUUCGGAAU